This 111-nucleotide ribosomal RNA is filed under the name uncultured bacterium. RNAcentral's name for it is "partial 16S ribosomal RNA". The record is from RNAcentral.
UGAAGACCUUCGGGUCGUAAACUCCUUUACGAUCGAGACGAAUGGCUUCCGGGUUAAUAACCCGGGAGAAUGACGGUACCGAGAGGAAGAACGCCCCGGCUAACUCCGUGC